Paramuricea clavata is the source of this 947-nucleotide non-coding RNA. The record is from the annotation of a GenBank genome assembly. Lineage: Eukaryota; Metazoa; Cnidaria; Anthozoa; Malacalcyonacea; Plexauridae.
CUAUAGCACAAAAGAAAUGAAUAAUUAAAAGUCUAGCAGGGGUUUUAGACGUCGUCCAAGUUCUGUUGACAACGGCAAAAAGCAUAUUUUCACGUCUUGUAUAGUACGCUAGCAUUUCACGCCGUGACAGGUAAUUUUUCUGGCAGAGUUGUGUUUUACUCGAUCGAAACUAUUUUAAAUUCAUAAGAAAGUAAAUACAAGACAAGAUUUCCAUACAAUCAUUUAUUUCGAACAAUUUGUUUAGCCGUCGUCCUGACGUCGCCGUCUUACAUUCGUAAACUCCCUACUCACGACGUCCCACAGGAGAAUUUUUGUGGCUAGCCCCCCCCCCCUGGGGCUAGCCACUAUACUAUGAUAUGAGCGAUGGUCGGUCAGCGAUGUCUGUCCGAAUUGUCGUGAAAUUAUCGUGAGCCGAAGUGAGGCCGACAGUAUGGCGAUCGUUUGUUUCGUGGUUUCGGUUAUCAUCGGAAACUUGGCUGGAAGUGAUGAGCCCCGACAGUUUGACGAUCGGUUAUUUCGGUUUUCAUCGGAAAUUGUGAGCCUAAAAAUUGGACCUAUUACCUAAUGAACAAAAUUUUGAUCUAGACAAGUCUACACGCGUAAAAAUUAUGAGCCCGCUGUUUAACAGGGUUGAACAAUGUUUGUGCUUCCCACGUUGUUCACACUUGUCAACAAUAUUGAACAAUAUUGUUGAACCUGAAUCGGGUGUAACAAUAUUUAACAAUUAUUCGCCGAAGGCGAGGUGAUUAUCGGGGAUUAGUAUAAUUACAUAGGUGAUUAUUGAAAAUUCUCCACGCUGAUUGGUUGCCGUUGAGGUGAUUAUUACGCGAUAAUCACCUAAGCGAUUUUCAAAAUGGCGGCCGAAGCCUUUUUGUCAAUUAAAUGACGAAGAAAUGUGUAUUUUUUAUUUUUUUCCAAAUAAUCACCUAUGAAAUUAUACUAAAACA